Molecule: ribosomal RNA, 484 nt
Filed under: uncultured bacterium
Lineage: Bacteria
Description: bacterial SSU rRNA
Rfam family: Bacterial small subunit ribosomal RNA
Source: RNAcentral
ACUCAAAGGAAUUGACGGGGACCCGCACAAGCGGUGGAGCGUGUUCUUUAAUUCGAUGUUAAACGAAGAACCUUACCAGGACUUGACAUCCUUGGAAUUUUUAUGAAAGUAAAAAGUGCCUUUUGGAACCAAGUGACAGGUGUUGCAUGGCCGUCGUCAGCUCGUGUCGUGAGAUGUAGGGUUAAGUCCCUUAACGAGCGCAACCCUUGUGAUUAGUUGUAUUUUUCUAAUCAGACUGCCUCGGCAACGGGGAGGAAGGAGGGGAUGAUGUCAGGUCAGUAUUGCCCUUACGUCCUGGGCUAGAAACGCGCUACAAUGGCUAGUACAAAGGGCAGCCAACCCGCAAGGGGGAGCUAAUCCCAUCAAAGCUAGUCUCAGUUCGGAUUGCAGGCUGAAACUCGCCUGCAUGAAGCUGGAAUCGCUAGUAACCGUAAGUCAGCAAAUUACGGUGAAUACGUUCCCGGGUCUUGUACACACCGCCCGU